RNAcentral lists this ribosomal RNA (1506 nucleotides) under Klebsiella pneumoniae. RNAcentral describes it as "16S ribosomal RNA". It matches the Rfam family "Bacterial small subunit ribosomal RNA". Lineage: Bacteria; Pseudomonadati; Pseudomonadota; Gammaproteobacteria; Enterobacterales; Enterobacteriaceae. The record is from RNAcentral.
UUAGAGUUUGAUCAUGGCUCAGAUUGAACGCUGGCGGCAGGCCUAACACAUGCAAGUCGAGCGGUAGCACAGAGAGCUUGCUCUCGGGUGACGAGCGGCGGACGGGUGAGUAAUGUCUGGGAAACUGCCUGAUGGAGGGGGAUAACUACUGGAAACGGUAGCUAAUACCGCAUAACGUCGCAAGACCAAAGUGGGGGACCUUCGGGCCUCAUGCCAUCAGAUGUGCCCAGAUGGGAUUAGCUGGUAGGUGGGGUAACGGCUCACCUAGGCGACGAUCCCUAGCUGGUCUGAGAGGAUGACCAGCCACACUGGAACUGAGACACGGUCCAGACUCCUACGGGAGGCAACAGUGGGGAAUAUUGCACAAUGGGCGCAAGCCUGAUGCAGCCAUGCCGCGUGUGUGAAGAAGGCCUUCGGGUUGUAAAGCACUUUCAGCGGGGAGGAAGGCGGUGAGGUUAAUAACCUCACCGAUUGACGUUACCCGCAGAAGAAGCACCGGCUAACUCCGUGCCAGCAGCCGCGGUAAUACGGAGGGUGCAAGCGUUAAUCGGAAUUACUGGGCGUAAAGCGCACGCAGGCGGUCUGUCAAGUCGGAUGUGAAAUCCCCGGGCUCAACCUGGGAACUGCAUUCGAAACUGGCAGGCUAGAGUCUUGUAGAGGGGGGUAGAAUUCCAGGUGUAGCGGUGAAAUGCGUAGAGAUCUGGAGGAAUACCGGUGGCGAAGGCGGCCCCCUGGACAAAGACUGACGCUCAGGUGCGAAAGCGUGGGGAGCAAACAGGAUUAGAUACCCUGGUAGUCCACGCUGUAAACGAUGUCGAUUUGGAGGUUGUGCCCUUGAGGCGUGGCUUCCGGAGCUAACGCGUUAAAUCGACCGCCUGGGGAGUACGGCCGCAAGGUUAAAACUCAAAUGAAUUGACGGGGGCCCGCACAAGCGGUGGAGCAUGUGGUUUAAUUCGAUGCAACGCGAAGAACCUUACCUGGUCUUGACAUCCACAGAACUUUCCAGAGAUGGAUUGGUGCCUUCGGGAACUGUGAGACAGGUGCUGCAUGGCUGUCGUCAGCUCGUGUUGUGAAAUGUUGGGUUAAGUCCCGCAACGAGCGCAACCCUUAUCCUUUGUUGCCAGCGGUUAGGCCGGGAACUCAAAGGAGACUGCCAGUGAUAAACUGGAGGAAGGUGGGGAUGACGUCAAGUCAUCAUGGCCCUUACGACCAGGGCUACACACGUGCUACAAUGGCAUAUACAAAGAGAAGCGACCUCGCGAGAGCAAGCGGACCUCAUAAAGUAUGUCGUAGUCCGGAUUGGAGUCUGCAACUCGACUCCAUGAAGUCGGAAUCGCUAGUAAUCGUAGAUCAGAAUGCUACGGUGAAUACGUUCCCGGGCCUUGUACACACCGCCCGUCACACCAUGGGAGUGGGUUGCAAAAGAAGUAGGUAGCUUAACCUUCGGGAGGGCGCUUACCACUUUGUGAUUCAUGACUGGGGUGAAGUCGUAACAAGGUAACCGUA